GCCGAAGUGGUGAAAUUGGUAGACACGCAUGGUUCAGGACCAUGUAGGGGCAACCCUGUGGAGGUUCGAGUCCUCUCUUCGGCACCA
Molecule: transfer RNA, 87 nt
Filed under: Nitrospina sp.
Lineage: Bacteria; Pseudomonadati; Nitrospinota; Nitrospinia; Nitrospinales; Nitrospinaceae
Also listed under: 1 other name
Description: tRNA-Leu
Rfam family: tRNA
About the family: Transfer RNA (tRNA) molecules are approximately 80 nucleotides in length. Their secondary structure includes four short double-helical elements and three loops (D, anti-codon, and T loops).
Source: RNAcentral